AGCCAUAUCACCGAACAGCCCCAGACUGGUUACUCACUGAAGCUAAGCAGGGCUGAGCCUGGUCAGUACCUGGAUGGGAGACCACUGAAUGGGAGACCACUUGGGAAAACUAGGUUGCU
Molecule: ribosomal RNA, 119 nt
Filed under: Danio rerio (zebrafish)
Lineage: Eukaryota; Metazoa; Chordata; Actinopteri; Cypriniformes; Danionidae
Source: RNAcentral